GUGGGGAAUAUUGGACAAUGGGCGCAAGCCUGAUCCAGCCAUGCCGCGUGAGUGAUGAAGGCCUUAGGGUUGUAAAGCUCUUUCACCGGUGAAGAUAAUGACGGUAACCGGAGAAGAAGCCCCGGCUAACUUCGUGCCAGCAGCCGCGGUAAUACGAAGGGGGCUAGCGUUGUUCGGAAUUACUGGGCGUAAAGCGCACGUAGGCGGACAUUUAAGUCAGGGGUGAAAUCCCGGGGCUCAACCCCGGAACUGCCUUUGAUACUGGGUGUCUGGAGUAUGGAAGAGGUAAGUGGAAUUCCGAGUGUAGAGGUGAAAUUCGUAGAUAUUCGGAGGAACACCAGUGGCGAAGGCGGCUUACUGGUCCAUUACUGACGCUGAGGUGCGAAAGCGUGGGGAGCAAACAGGAUUAGAUACCCGUGUAGUCC
This 425-nucleotide ribosomal RNA is filed under the name uncultured bacterium. Its description in RNAcentral is "partial 16S ribosomal RNA". It matches the Rfam family "Bacterial small subunit ribosomal RNA", at positions 354 to 796 of the family's 1533-position model. The record is from RNAcentral.